GCCCCGGUAGCUAAGCCCGGUUAUAGCAACGGCCUCGUAAGCCGUGGGUCGCGGGUUCAAAUCCCGCCCGGGGCUCCA
Molecule: transfer RNA, 78 nt
Filed under: Candidatus Bathyarchaeota archaeon
Lineage: Archaea; Thermoproteati; Candidatus Bathyarchaeota
Description: tRNA-Thr
Rfam family: tRNA
About the family: Transfer RNA (tRNA) molecules are approximately 80 nucleotides in length. Their secondary structure includes four short double-helical elements and three loops (D, anti-codon, and T loops). Further hydrogen bonds mediate the characteristic L-shaped molecular structure. tRNAs have two regions of fundamental functional importance: the anti-codon, which is responsible for specific mRNA codon recognition, and the 3' end, to which the tRNAs corresponding amino acid is attached (by aminoacyl-tRNA synthetases). tRNAs cope with the degeneracy of the genetic code in two manners: having more than one tRNA (with a specific anti-codon) for a particular amino acid; and 'wobble' base-pairing, i.e. permitting non-standard base-pairing at the 3rd anti-codon position.
Source: RNAcentral